This 668-nucleotide ribosomal RNA is filed under the name uncultured Antarctic cyanobacterium. RNAcentral's name for it is "bacterial SSU rRNA". It matches the Rfam family "Bacterial small subunit ribosomal RNA", at positions 105 to 807 of the family's 1533-position model. Lineage: Bacteria; Bacillati; Cyanobacteriota. The record is from RNAcentral.
GGUGAGAAACCCCUAGAGAAUCUGCCUCCAGGUCGGGGACAACAGUGGGAAACUGCUGCUAAUACCCGAUGUGCCCAAGGGUGAAAGAUUAAUUGCCGGGAGAUGAGCUCGCGUCCGAUAAGCUAGUUGGUAGAGUAAAAGCCUACCAAGGCUCCGAUCGGGUAGCUGGUNUGAGAGGAUGAGCAGUCACACUGGGAUGAGACACGGCCCAGAUCCUACGGGAGGCAGCAGUGGGGAAUUUUCCGCAAUGGGCGAAAGCCUGACGGAGCAAGACCGCGUGGGGGAUGAAGGCUCUUGGGUUGUAGACCCCUUUUCUCAGGGAAGAAGAACUGACGGUACCUGAGGAAUAAGCAUCGGCUAACUCCGUGCCAGCAGCCGCGGUAAGACGGAGGAUGCAAGCGUUAUCCGGAAUUAUUGGGCGUAAAGCGUUCGUAGGUGGCUGUUCAAGUCUGCCGUUAAAGACCGGGGCUUAACUCCGGAAAAACUGUGGAAACUGAACAGCUAGAGUAUGGUAGGGGUAAGGGGAAUUCCUGGUGUAGCGGUGAAAUGCGUAGAUAUCAGGAAGAACACCGGUGGCGAAGGCGCCUUACUGGGCCAUAACUGACACUGAGGGACGAAAGCUAGGGGAGCGAAAGGGAUUAGAUACCCCAGUAGUCCUAGCNGUAAAC